UGCAGUCGAGCGGAACGAGUUAUCUGAACCUUCGGGGGACGAUAACGGCGUCGAGCGGCGGACGGGUGAGUAAUGCCUAGGAAAUUGCCCUGAUGUGGGGGAUAACCAUUGGAAACGAUGGCUAAUACCGCAUAAUGCCUACGGGCCAAAGAGGGGGACCUUCGGGCCUCUCGCGUCAGGAUAUGCCUAGGUGGGAUUAGCUAGUUGGUGAGGUAAUGGCUCACCAAGGCGACGAUCCCUAGCUGGUCUGAGAGGAUGAUCAGCCACACUGGAACUGAGACACGGUCCAGACUCCUACGGGAGGCAGCAGUGGGGAAUAUUGCACAAUGGGCGCAAGCCUGAUGCAGCCAUGCCGCGUGUGUGAAGAAGGCCUUCGGGUUGUAAAGCACUUUCAGUCGUGAGGAAGGUAGUGUAGUUAAUAGCUGCAUUACUUGACGUUAGCGACAGAAGAAGCACCGGCUAACUCCGUGCCAGCAGCCGCGGUAAUACGGAGGGUGCGAGCGUUAAUCGGAAUUACUGGGCGUAAAGCGCAUGCAGGUGGUUUGUUAAGUCAGAUGUGAAAGCCCGGGGCUCAACCUCGGAAUAGCAUUUGAAACUGGCAGACUAGAGUACUGUAGAGGGGGGUAGAAUUUCAGGUGUAGCGGUGAAAUGCGUAGAGAUCUGAAGGAAUACCGGUGGCGAAGGCGGCCCCCUGGACAGAUACUGACACUCAGAUGCGAAAGCGUGGGGAGCAAACAGGAUUAGAUACCCUGGUAGUCCACGCCGUAAACGAUGUCUACUUGGAGGUUGUGGCCUUGAGCCGUGGCUUUCGGAGCUAACGCGUUAAGUAGACCGCCUGGGGAGUACGGUCGCAAGAUUAAAACUCAAAUGAAUUGACGGGGGCCCGCACAAGCGGUGGAGCAUGUGGUUUAAUUCGAUGCAACGCGAAGAACCUUACCUACUCUUGACAUCCAGAGAACUUUCCAGAGAUGAAUUGGUGCCUUCGGGAACUCUGAGACAGGUGCUGCAUGGCUGUCGUCAGCUCGUGUUGUGAAAUGUUGGGUUAAGUCCCGCCACCGAGCGCAACCCUUAUCCUUGUUUGCCAGCCAGUA
This 1091-nucleotide ribosomal RNA is filed under the name Vibrio alginolyticus. RNAcentral's name for it is "bacterial SSU rRNA". It matches the Rfam family "Bacterial small subunit ribosomal RNA", at positions 56 to 1127 of the family's 1533-position model. Lineage: Bacteria; Pseudomonadati; Pseudomonadota; Gammaproteobacteria; Vibrionales; Vibrionaceae. The record is from RNAcentral.